This 846-nucleotide long non-coding RNA is filed under the name Marmota monax (woodchuck). The record is from RNAcentral. Lineage: Eukaryota; Metazoa; Chordata; Mammalia; Rodentia; Sciuridae.
CGUAUUCCAUGCUUGUAUAAUUAUAUCAAAAUGGAUUCUCCUAUCAUGUAUAACUGAAAAGAAAAAAAAAAGAACAAUGAGAAAAGGCAUAAACACUGUUGAAAAUACAGAUAGAACAAAAAUUUUUUUAAGGUAAAAGCAACUAUCAUGUAAAUAAAUUUGAAAAAACAGUGGAGAUAUUCCUUGAGGGAAUAUAACAUAGAAUACUAAUCCAGAAGAAAUUUUAAGACUAAGUAAGCUUGUAAUUUCUAAAUGAAUGUAGUUUAGGACUGGAGGUAGAACACUUGUCUAACAUGUACAAAGUCCUAGUUUUGAUCACCAGCACGCCCCCGACCCCAAAAGAAGUUUAAUGUUCUUUAAAGGAAACACUGGGUCAUAAUGUUAUACAAGUAAAUUCUUCUAAAUUUUCAAGGACGAGUUUAACCUCAUAGCAAGUUUCUGAAAUAAUAGGCAAAAAUAUUUCUCAACUUGUACUGGGAAAUCAGCAUAAUCUAGACAUAAAAUAAAUAAGGACAGUACAUUACAUGUAAAUAUACUAGAUAAAAUACUAUCAGAUCAGAUUCAUUAUGAAAAAGAUACUUUUUGACUAGCAAAGUGGGUUUAUUCCAGGAUUGCAAGAUUGGCUUUGUAUUAGGAGCUCUCAUGUAAUUCAACAUGUUAAUAAGUUGGAAAAAAAUGUAAUAGAUUAAGAUAAAACUGAUCUCAUUCCUGAUUUUUUAAAAUCAAGUUUUCUUAACCUGAUAAGUUGUGUCCAUAUUAAAACAAAAACAAAGCACAAACAAUAAAACCAUGACAUCCUGUAAGAGAAAAUAUUGAAAGCCUUCCCUUUGAAACUGGGAAUAGGAC